AUGGUCUGCCCCUGGCCCUGCUGGCGUCCUCUUGCUGCUGUUGUAAUUCGUCUCCACCCUGUCCAUGGACGCCGACUUCGCCGGCAUUGCUGCGACGGCGAUGGGCUCCACGGGCCUGGGCACGCCGGGCGGCGUGCUGCACCGGAUGAGCGCCCAGUUGACACCCUCGAAGAAGGGGUGCUGCUUGAUCUCGGCCGCUCCCCUCUUCACGCCGAGCCGGCCCUGGGGCUCCUUGGCCAGCAGGCCCCUGAUGAGGUCCUUGCUGGCGCCGCUCGUCGGCGGGCCGCCCUCCGGGAACCGGAGCUGCUGGCCGACGACGUUGAACAGCGUGGCCCGGUUCGUCUGCCCCUUGAACGGCGUCUUGCCGUACAUGAGCUCGUGCAGGAACACGCCGAACGUCCACCAGUCCACCGCGCUGCCGUGGCCCUCCCCCUUGAUGAUCUCCGGCGCCAGGUACUCGUGCGUGCCCACGAACGACAUCGACCGCGCGCCGGUCGGCUCCACGACGAGCUCCGGCAUGGCGCCCUGCUGCUGGUCGCCGCUCUUCGAUCUGGAGGCCGCGGAGGCGCUCUUCUUGCUGCUCCGGCCGCCGAAGAGCUUGGGCAUGAAGCACGUGGGCUGGAUGCAGGCGCCGCCGUUGGGGCCGGAGGCGCUGCAGGGCAGCGACGGCCGGACCAGCGUCGUCGAGGCGGCGCAGCGGAGGGAGAGGUCGAAGUCGGAGAGCAUGACGUGGCCGUCGUCCCUGACGAGCACGUUCUCCGGCUUCAGGUCCCGGUACACCACCCCGAGCAUGUGCAGGUACUCCAGCGCAAGGAGCACCUCGGCGGCAUAGAACCUGAGCGAACGAGCGAAGGAGAAUGUCACAUGCUUGGAACGCGAAUUUGGUCCACAGAUCAGCUGCAAGAUGCAUCGAAACCGUACCUUGCGGCGUGCUCGGGGAAGAGCUUGCCGGGCUGGCGCUGGCGGAGGGCGUGGAGGUCGCCGCCGGGGCAGAACUCCAUGACGAGGCAGGCGAACUUGUCGGUCUCGAAGUGGGCGUAG
RNAcentral lists this ribosomal RNA (1041 nucleotides) under Triticum aestivum (bread wheat). RNAcentral describes it as "partial small subunit ribosomal RNA". The record is from RNAcentral. Lineage: Eukaryota; Viridiplantae; Streptophyta; Magnoliopsida; Poales; Poaceae.